UGCCAGCAGCCGCGGUAAUACGGAGGGUGCAAGCGUUGUUCGGAAUUACUGGGCGUAAAGCGCGCGUAGGCGGCUUUUUAAGUCAGAUGGGAAAGUCCACGGCUCAACCGUGGAAGUGCAUUUGAAACUGGAAAGCUUGAGUAUCAGAGGGGAUGGUGGAAUUCCCGGUGUAGAGGUGAAAUUCGCAGAUAUCGGGAGGAAUACCGGUGGCGAAGGCGACUUUCUGGGCUGUUUCUGACGCUGAGGUGCGAAAGCGUGGGUAGCGAACAGGAUUAGAUA
Molecule: ribosomal RNA, 279 nt
Filed under: uncultured bacterium
Lineage: Bacteria
Description: partial 16S ribosomal RNA
Rfam family: Bacterial small subunit ribosomal RNA
Source: RNAcentral